AAUGUAGUUCCUCCGUCCCAAAAUUCUUGUCUUAGAUUUGUCUAGAUACAGAUGUAUCAAGUCAUGUUUUAGUACUUGAUACAUCCGAAUUUAUACAAAUCUACGACAAGAAUUUUGGAACGGAGGGAAUACAAC
Non-coding RNA from Triticum aestivum (bread wheat), 135 nucleotides. The record is from Rfam. Lineage: Eukaryota; Viridiplantae; Streptophyta; Magnoliopsida; Poales; Poaceae.